UACGUAGGUGGCAAGCGUUGUCCGGAAUUAUUGGGCGUAAAGCGUGCGUAGGCGGUUCGUUAAGUUCGUUGUGAAAGCCCCGGGCUCAACCUGGGAACUGCAAUGGAAACUGGCGGGCUUGAGUGUGGCAGAGGGGGGUGGAAUUCCGCGUGUAGCAGUGAAAUGCGUAGAGAUGCGGAGGAACACCGAUGGCGAAGGCAGCCCCCUGGGCCAACACUGACGCUCAGGCACGAAAGCGUGGGGAGCAAACAGG
This 253-nucleotide ribosomal RNA is filed under the name uncultured bacterium. RNAcentral describes it as "partial 16S ribosomal RNA". It matches the Rfam family "Bacterial small subunit ribosomal RNA", at positions 524 to 776 of the family's 1533-position model. The record is from RNAcentral.